CCUACGGGAGGCAGCAGUCGAGAAUUUUUCACAAUGGGCGCAAGCCUGAUGGAGCGACGCCGCGUGGGGGAUGAAUGGCUUCGGCCCGUAAACCCCUGUCAUCUGCGAGCAAUCCCGCCGGCUUAACACGUUGGCGGUUGAUAGUAGUGGAAGAGGAAGGGACGGCUAACUCUGUGCCAGCAGCCGCGGUAAUACAGAGGUCCCAAGCGUUGUUCGGAUUUACUGGGCGUAAAGGGUGCGUAGGUGGCUGAAAAAGUCUGAUGUGAAAUCUUGGAGCUCAACUCCGAAACUGCAUUGGAUACUAUUUGGCUUGAGGAAUGGAGAGGGGAUUGGAAUUCUCGGUGUAGCAGUGAAAUGCGUAGAUAUCGAGAGGAACACCAGUGGCAAAAGCGAAUCUCUGGACAUUACCUGACACUGAGGCACGAAAGCCAAGGGAGCAAACGGGAUUAGAUACCCUAGUAGUC
Molecule: ribosomal RNA, 464 nt
Filed under: uncultured bacterium
Lineage: Bacteria
Description: bacterial SSU rRNA
Rfam family: Bacterial small subunit ribosomal RNA
Source: RNAcentral